This 427-nucleotide ribosomal RNA is filed under the name uncultured bacterium. RNAcentral's name for it is "bacterial SSU rRNA". It matches the Rfam family "Bacterial small subunit ribosomal RNA", at positions 355 to 774 of the family's 1533-position model. The record is from RNAcentral.
UGGGGAAUUUUGGACAAUGGGGGCAACCCUGAUCCAGCCAUGCCGCGUGAGUGAAGAAGGCCUUCGGGUUGUAAAGCUCUUUCGGCUGGGAAGAAAUCGCAUCUCCUAAUACGGGGUGUGGAUGACGGUACCAGCAUAAGAAGCACCGGCUAACUACGUGCCAGCAGCCGCGGUAAUACGUAGGGUGCGAGCGUUAAUCGGGAUUACUGGGCGUAAAGCGUGCGCAGGCGGUUUCGUAAGACAGACGUGAAAUCCCCGGGCUCAACCUGGGAACUGCGUUUGUGACUGCGAGGCUAGAGUUUGGCAGAGGGGGGUGGAAUUCCACGUGUAGCAGUGAAAUGCGUAGAGAUGUGGAGGAACACCGAUGACGAAGGCAGCCCCCUGGGCCAAUACUGACGCUCAUGCACGAAAGCGUGGGGAGCACACA